CGCCUGUUUAUCAAAAACAUCUCUUCUCGUUAGUUUUUGAAGUAUGGCCUGCCCACUGACCUUGAAUGUUGAAGGGCCGCGGUAUUUUGACCGUGCAAAGGUAGCAUAGUCAUUAGUUCUUUAAUUGUGAUCUGGUAUGAAUGGCUUGACGAGGCAUAAGCUGUCUUAAUUUUGAAUUGUUUAUUGAAUUUGGUCUUUGAGUUAAAAUUCUUAGAUGUUUUUGUGGGACGAGAAGACCCUAUAGAGUUUAACAUUUAUUAUGGUCUCUUUCUGUUUGUGAGGGUUCACUAGGGCUGUCUAAUAUGUUUUGUUGGGGUGAUGGGAGGGAUAUUAUUUAACCCCUCCUUUGUGUUGUUAUAUUUAUUUAUAUUUGCUUGAUCCAUUUAUUUUGAUUGUAAGAUUAAAUUACCUUAGGGAUAACAGCGUAA
Molecule: ribosomal RNA, 428 nt
Filed under: Reticulitermes flavipes (eastern subterranean termite)
Lineage: Eukaryota; Metazoa; Arthropoda; Insecta; Blattodea; Rhinotermitidae
Description: partial 16S ribosomal RNA
Rfam family: Archaeal large subunit ribosomal RNA
Source: RNAcentral